UCUCCAGGUGAGCUGGGCUUUCUCGAAACUGGCUGCUGGGAUCUGGUAUUUCAUCACCUCCUUGCCCAACUUAGCAGAAGUGAGCCUGGUUCCCUACUGGGCCUGAGGAAGCAGAUUUCUAUACAGGGGAAGAGGACCUUCCCUCUCUCCUAAUCCCAUCAGAUUCAGAAGCAGGAGCGAGGAGAAUCAACUCCAGAAGUAGUAUUUAAAAGAGCGUAAGGUGCGGAGUCUGAAGUCUUGUUGAACUGAAAUAAAAGCUUUGCUUACCGCCAGCGGCGCCAGGUACGUGAACCUCACUCAGCUCACGUCCAGAAAACGAAGCUAGUCAUGCUGCUUUCACAGCACAGAAAGCAAUCCAAGGAAUACUCCCGAAGACCCUUUCCAGGUACAGCACCUGCCAACACCAGCUGCCCGUGUCACACCAUUGAGCUCCCAGCGUCCCAGCUUCCCCAGCCCCUGAGCCACCCCCCCCCCCCAACUCCUAGACUCCUCCAAGGGCUUCCCCUAUUGCCAACGCUUUCAGGGGAGGGGUCAGUUUGAGGAUCUUUAGAAUUUUCCAUUCCAGCCCCCCAGUUUAACCCUGAAAGAUAAUUGAGCUUAUCACGAAUGCAAUCUCAUUAAGGACAAGGGGCAGAGCAGCUGCUGCCCCGCUGGCUGGCUCACUCCAAUGUUGCAGGGAGAGCAGGAAAUAAAACCCCUCCAGCUUCAGUUCGCAGGGGAAACAAAUCCUGGGCAGCUCGGCAUUUGCUUAAUCAAGGAAGCGGGCGCUGCGGGCUGCUGCGGGCUGCUGCGGGCUCUGGUUCACUCCUCCCCAGUGCUUGAGCACCUCUCCCUCUCAGCUGUGCCACCUGACUGCAGGGCGGCUGACAACCAGCCACUGGCCCCAGACCCUCCCUGAAGUGGGUCUGGGUGCCUUUAAUCACAUUUACAGCUUGGAGGAGGAGGAGGCUGGGGUAAAGUUCAGCAGCCGUUUGCAGAGAGUUUUAGGCAAUAUCCUGCAACUCUUUCACAGGCCCUGAGGUUGCGGGGCUGGCCUUUCAGACACGCUUGGGUAAAGGGGCUGCAGAAACAGGAUUCUCCACUCUCUCCCCGACUCGAGAAGCUGGAUGCAAGCUGACCACCCCCACCCCCCACUCCAGGCAGAUGGGUAACCUCGGAUCUGGCCUUCCAGCUCCCAGAACUUAGGGCCAUUUCAGGGGGACAGCCCUUAUAAAACCAAAAUUGCUUUCUGGGAGACAGAUGUAUUGUUCCGAAAUGCUUCAGAGAAGGCAGUGGAAGGAGAGCCCCUCUUCCCUUGCCCACUGGAAAAAGGGUUGGCUCUGGGCAACAUCUCACAGUGGGCGAUCAGACAUUACAAACGGUCAGCUGAGAAUGACUGCACCAUGCCCAGGCCACCAGGUGUUCCAUGGCCUGCCUGCUAUGCCCUCUAAUGGAUGACCUCUUCCCCUAGCUUUUGCCUCUAAGAAAAGUAUUCACCCCUAUAUCUACGAAGAAAAACAAAUACUCUGAGAUAUAAGCAGCUGACAAGUGUUUAUCGCCAGCCAACCAGCCAAAAACAUCAGCAAGCAAGUGGUUUUCCUUUAACACUGAGCCCAAACCAAGAAGCUACUCUGGGGGCAGGACGGGGCACCAGGAAGGCAGGUGCCACAUGGCACCGGUCUCCGAGCCCCAGCCCUAAGAAGCCGGCCAGCAGAGGCAGCUCGGGAGGCUGGCUUCUCUGCGGGGAGAUGAGCACAGGGUCCUGGAGGAAGUAUGAGCCAUAGAGGCCCCCCUGGCGUUUCUGCCCUGAGCCUCUAAGAAGGUGAUCAGUUCCCGACAACUGCACUCCCCUGGGGUAUCUAACUGCAUUGCUGUGGCCCCUGCACAAAGGGCAGAGCCCCACAGCCCCAGCAGGGUCCCAAAGGACCAUAGAGCGCCCCAAGCCCACUGUUGGUUUGCGUCUAACUGAGCGUACACGGGGCACCGAGCUUGCCCAGGCCCUUCAGUGCGGGAUCACAGGACAAGUCCCAUCCUGACCCCUGAGAACCUUUUGCAAGCCCCUCAACUUCCCUCCUGAGUGACAAAGAACAGGAAGGAAGACCUCCAAGGGGGAGAUGAACACCAGCUGACUGAGCACUGGGCCAGUACCAGCAGGGAGCCUAAGAGGAGACUCAGUGGUUAGAGAUCAUAGGUCCUGGCCCCUGGGGCCUCAAUGGCAGACCGGGACCAUUCCAGACAUCUGCCCAGCCCCGGAAGGGCCUGACGCGUCUCGAGAGAGCCCCCAGAAGGGAAAUUUUUGGAGCACAAAGUUUAGAAACCCUGGUGCAUGCCAAAUUAACUUAAGCAGUGUAUUACAAACAUCCCCAGUCAAGUGGGGAUCUCAGCUGAAAAAAGACCGGCCUCUACCCAUAUUUUGACACAAAAUUGUCUCCGCGUGUAACCACGUCCUGUUUCUCGAAUGAAGUUCUUGAGACCACCUGCAGUCGUAACACUCCCUCAGCUCACCCCCUUCAUUUUACUUGAAUGCCUGUGAUAAAGGCACCCUCGUGGCGUUGGAAAAGAACAUCCCUACCCUUUCCUUUUAUCUUCACUUAACAGUUUGCCAUCCAGUGAUAGGAGGGGCCUCGCCUCCAACAGUCCGCCCUUUUAUCUCCGGCUGACCACGCAACUACACCAAGCCAAGGGCUGGAUUUCCUGCAGCGCCCUCCGAGGGGCUGUUGGACUUGUUUAAAAUAUGACUGGCCUCCAGAACCUUGGAACAAUGCCUGAGCAACACCUACCCAGCAUCCAUUUCAGCUCCAGCCUUGAAAGCCUCCAAGUCCAACGUACCAGGACUCCUAGUGCCUCGGUGUGGGAGGCUUACUGCCUCCGAGCAAGAGAACUCACUUUCCAGUCGGCCCCCAAUGUAAGGGCCACCUUCGUCAAUGUCCAGAAACCUUAGAUGCUACCUACAGUAGCUCAAGUUAAACUCUGAGUUUCCACUAUUAUUAUUAUAGUAACUCAGAGGCACUGAAUCCCAUCCUUUAGCCGCUGGAACACAGAGCAGUAUGCCAUGUGCUUUCUCACAGAAGCCUGGGAACACACAGCACCCAUCAUCUGCAGCGUGAGGAUACGCUGACCUCUGACCACAGGCCAAGCUCUGUGUAUGAGACUUGGCUAUGCUAGAAGGCAUAGGUCCCCAGCUCAAACUCUCACCUGCUCUGAACACCACAAGCAUUCCUGCGAACAUCAAGGUUGGCCAUGACGGCAAACUCCUAUUUUUGUGGCGGACCAAGGCUACUAUGGGACAGCCAUGCCACUUAUGUGAUGGGACAACCAGGAGUUCACCCAUCAGAGCACAGAGGACCCCAACUCCCUGCCAUUCGAGGCUGUGAGUUCCAUCUUCUUGGCAUCACACCAGCGUAUGUGAGGUAAAUGGUCUCAGAGAACGACACGAUCAGAUGUUUCAAACAGUCCACCAGAGUUCCCGGAGUAGAAGAAAAAAGUCUUCACAAAGUCAAAUAAAAAGAAGAAAAACUUCCUUGUCUACGUCCCCCUUAGCCCCUCACAAUCUCCCAAGGAAGAGGGUUCAGGGUUGGGGGGAGGGAGGGGGGCCAGGCGGCGGAGUGAUGGCAGUAGGCAAGGCCAUAGGUUAGACCCGAGGCAAACGAGUAACGGAAACCAGGCCAAACCAGGCCAUAGGUGACAUUUGCAACACAAAUUUCUGUGCCAUCACUCCAAGACGGAGCCAGUGUUUUUAGGAUCCCUCUUUAUGAGGCCCAGAUAAUAAACAAGAGCAUAGAAAGACCAGCUCAGCCACAUGGUCCCCACGUAAAACGCAGGAGGCUGCACUCUGUGUGGCCCUUCUCCUGCUGCCAUGGGGCUCGGCCCUGUCGCUGGCCUGUCACUGAACAGGAGCCAGCUCCCUGGCUCGGCCUCACGGGCCAAACAGCAGGCGCUCUGCAACGUCCUCCGUUUCCUCCCAGCCAUGAAGUCAGAACAACCUGUACAGACAAAGAGAAGCGAAAACUUGCGAAACAAGGGCACCUACCCUGCUCACUGAAUGUGCCCGAGGAGACUUUCUCAGAGACCUUUUCAGAUGCUUCACUGCAAUUCUGGAAAGAAAAGGCAGUCCCCUACACCCAGGCACGCACAUGUUCACACAAACCCAAUUUCAUGCUCUGCCGGGCCCACCACUGCAAUGCAGAAGUCAAACCAGAACUCCAGAGCAUGGCCCCCGGUUACUUAACGGAUUUGGAAUUGUAACUGACACUUUUCCAUAAACUCUGUAGAGGCCGGUGACAUCCUGGCAUGUUCCCAAUCUGGAAACAGAGUCUUCCUAAGGCCGGGAAGGGAGAAAGGCCUAAGAGAUUAUACAAUGAUCUGCUACCUGACUACAGAAAAAAAUGCUGUUUGCAAGAAAGAGAUGUGGGGGGAGAAAGUCUCUACUGUCUCUUUAUUCCUUGUAGUUAACCCUAACAUUAUGCUCUAGCCAAGGCAAGAAUAAUCCUUUUAGGGUUUCACCCACAAGAAGCUACUAAUUGUGAUAACUUUUUUUUUUUUUUUUUAAACCCUAUCGGCUGAGAUUCAUUCAACAGGACUAGAGUUUGGAAGACAGGCAAAGUAAUUCCAGUUCUAUCUGAUAUAAAGAUCUCGAAAGGACCAUGCUACUGGUAGGAGUCAUGUAUUCUGCACAACCCGAAUUUAUAAUCAAAUGUGAUUAUUCACAUGAGGCAAAUGCUCCUUUAAAUUUUUUUAGCUUGGAGAAACAGAAAACCGAGGGACACGUUAAUCCGCCAGAUCUGCCAGGCUCACGACUUUCACAGCUUCUCCCUACUUUAUUUACUAUGGCUUUAGCCACUAGGCAGAUUUCACUUUAAAAACGGAGUCUCCUUAGUCUCCUGGGGUCUGACUUCCAGGCCCAUCCUUGCUGCUUUCUGUGAAUUCAAGCCAAAGUCCAGGAAGAGUGCACAGAAAAUGUGCAUUCUCGGCAAAGGGUUAAAAUGCAUUGCUGAAGAUGUUCUGUACUUUCUUUGUGCCCUUGAAGCAGGGUGAUUUUUGGUAUCAGUCUGGAAAACCUGAGACAGCGUGGUGGCCAUUCUGAGACGUUAGUGUACGGACCUCCCAGAGAUGAAAGCCACCAGGAGCUGUAGGACAGAGCCCCCUGGCCUGGAAAUUGAGGAGACAGGGCACAAGGAGGUACAUUUCAAUCCAUGGGAAAGUAAAUCAUGAGCCAAGCACUUUAGGGCUGACAGGUUCCCAAGGUGUAAGUCAUCGAGCAUGAGGGCAGUAGGGCAGAAGCAAAGAUGAGCUUACAGAAAAGAUCUGGCUUUCAGAAGACAGGGCGUUCCAGUUAGAAGGAAAUGUACAGCCACCCAAGAGGUCUGGACCGGUCGUGGCGUCACGAAAGCGCAGGCUGCUGCGUGCCUACAUUUUCACCCUCCUCGAGUAAAAUAAGGAAAAACAGACAGUUUGCUGGGAUACUCACAAUGCUGAAUGCAUUCUUUUCUGAGGUUCAGGUGCCCCCUUUUACAAUGAGAUGGUUGAGACUGGUUAUUAAUGGUGAUUUCUUUAUGGCAAAAGAAAAAAAAAUAAAGCCACCCCUUGAGUCUACCUGCAGAAGUAUUGCCUUGAGUUUCUAGACCCUAAAAACAAAACCCUUGGGAGCCAUCAGGCUAUAUGCCAUGUGACAUCUGAAAGGAGGGAGAGUGGAGCAGGGCGAAGGGCAGGGAUGGGGUGGCCAAACUAUGCUGGUGUCAAAGUUCCAUCCACGGGGACGGACUUCAUCCUGCGGCUAUGAGAACCCACUGAAGGUCCACCACUUCCCUUUCAGAAAAAACAAAAACUUGUGAGACGAAGUAAUACGACCCACAUUUUUAAAAAGUUCUUGGCGGCAGUUAAAGAAAUGGACAAUUAAGGCACGUAACCCAGUUAGGAGGCCACUGCCGUAUGAGGGACAGACAGUAGGACUGUGGGAUCCACGAAGACAUCACCAAGGGCCGGACCUCGCCAUGGAAUGAGGCCUAUCCUAUAAAACUCCCGGUCUGCGGGAACUGACAGCAUCUAGAACAGCGAAGUCCAGGUGAAAGUUCUCCAACAAUGAAAAUGGCCUCUGUCUGGGCAGCCCAAUAUGGUAACCGCUAACCACGCGUGGCCACUGAGCACCUGAACGGAGACUAAUGGAACUAAGGAACUCCAUUUAAAAAUUUUACUUAAGUUUAAUUUAAAUUUAAAUAGCCACAUGUGGCUACCAGCUGUUGUACUGGAUAGUGUAGGUUUAUGGUAUUUUUUUUUUUCCUCCAGUAAUCUUGGGUUACUAGACUGCUGUCCUUCAUUUGUUUGCUUCCUGGGGUUUUUAAGCCCUGGAGCAGGAGUAAGGAUGAUCUGGCAUGGUUUUACCUGCAGGCAUGAGAAAGAAGUGAGCUGAUCCCAGAAGUAAUACACUUUGCUAUGAGUUUUCUUUCUUCCCAGAGUUUACCAGAGUUUCAAUGCAUAAAGGGAAAUCACCCAUGAAACCAACAACAGAGGGACAUCUCCUAAGCCAGACUGAUUUCUUCUUGCUGUCAGAGGUUAAAACGAAACGAAACAAACUUGUUUGAAAAAAUUAACCGACGGGAGCAGCCAUCACCCUUCAACUGACUCGGAGGGAACUAUAUUUCACCCGAGGCCCUCAAACACGGUGUGAUGAUAAAAAUGCUUUUGUUGGUCACCUCAGCUGCUAACUAUGGCUCCAGCGCUAGACCUGGGGUGUGUGUGGGGGGGGUGUUCUAGAAGCUCACCACCUGGGUGAGGGAAAGCAGCAGCGACAAGAAGGUAAGGUCUAGGCCAUCCUAAGUUAACGUCCAGGGGAAAUACUGGGGCGCGUGAGUGGAGGGGCGUGAGGCGUGAAG
Molecule: long non-coding RNA, 6848 nt
Organism: Mustela lutreola (European mink)
Lineage: Eukaryota; Metazoa; Chordata; Mammalia; Carnivora; Mustelidae
Exons: 4
Source: RefSeq, a predicted model, not a curated record